UUGGAGGGCAAGUUCUGUGCCACACCCGCGGUAAUUCCAGCCCAUAUGCGUAUAUAUAGUUGUUGCAGUUGAAAAAGCUCGUAGUUGAAAUUUCGGGGUCAGCAGGUUGGUCGUGCCUCUGGUACGCACUGGUAUCGCUGAUCCUCCUUUCUGAAGAACUGUUAUGUCAUUAAUUGUGUUGCAGGGAAACAGGACUGUGACUUUGAACCGAUCAGAGUGUCUAAAGCAAGCUAACGCUGCAUACAUUAGCAUGGAAUAAUGAUCAUAGGACGUUUGAUCCUAUAUUUGUUGGUUUCUAGGAUUGACGUAAUGAUUAAUAGGGAUAGUUGGGGGCAUUAGUAUUCCAUUGUCAGAGUGAAUUCUGGAUUUAUUGAGACUCACUACUGCGGAAGCGUUGGCCAAGGAUGUCUCAUAUCCAGAACGAAAGUUAGGGGAUCGAAGACGAUCAGAUACCGUGGUAGUCUUAACCAUAAACUAUGCCGAAUAGGGAUCGGAUGAUGUAAUUUGUUAAUGACUCA
RNAcentral lists this ribosomal RNA (518 nucleotides) under uncultured Glomus. Its description in RNAcentral is "bacterial SSU rRNA". It matches the Rfam family "Eukaryotic small subunit ribosomal RNA", at positions 548 to 1078 of the family's 1831-position model. The record is from RNAcentral. Lineage: Eukaryota; Fungi; Glomeromycota; Glomeromycetes; Glomerales; Glomeraceae.